CUUUUUGGUUUCUUCUUGGACGAGUAUAAGAUCCAUGUCCUGCCAAGUAGACAAUGUGAGUUUGACAAAGCUUUCAAUGUCUUUGGUAAUUGUGGAUUUGAAAUGUGGUGAUCUCAAGAAGCCGCCAAUAAGUGCAUGAAGUUUCUUCUGCAUAUUUCCAUUCAUUUGAAGUAUAGAAAACUCUCCAAGCAAAAUCCUGAUUGAUUUAGGAUAAGCAGGGAUGAACACAUUGCCAUGGUUUUGUAAAACCACUUUGUUCACCUCUGGAUCUGUGGACACUAUGAUGGGUGUUCCAAGAAUAUGAGUUUUAAACACCUCUCCAUAUCUGUAAAAAGGAGAAACUUUAUUUUAUGAUAUAUUUCAAACUUUUCAUUGAUUGGAUGAAGGAGGGCAGCCAGGAUGGAGAGAAAAAGGAAAAGGUAAUAUCAAUAGAAAGCUGAUAAAAACUAUGGAGACAUGGGCUGUGGUUAAUGACUGCACAAGCAACAGCUAUAGGAGUUGCUGCUGCAAGCAAGUAACCUAAGGCCUGGUCAGAUCAGGUCAGGUCAGGCUUUACUUUCUUUCCUUUCACUGCUUGAUCCUGCCCGCAAUUAUUUGCUAUGCAUAUAUUGUCACAUCCGCUUCUGAUCAGCAGUAGUAAAUUAAAAAUGAAAAAGUUGUGAAAAUUGAUGAAUUAUGAGUUAUGAGAAGAAUGUGGAUCUUUAAUAAGGUAGGUUGGCUGGUUGCUAAUUAACAAGUGCCUUGGAAUAUCAAAAAGUCAAUAUGUCACUAUUUAAUCAUCUUCUUACUAUAUAAUACUGUUUCUUAAUAUGAUUAUAAAUUAAUGGACUUGGCUCAUGUAUAAACUUAUUUAUGUUUUGAUUGGUUUUGUUUCAAAAUUACUGAUAUUUCAUUCAAUUUCUACCAACAUGGCGAUUGUUGCAAUGGCUAAACAUAUUGACGUGCCAUGCUUAGACCACUAAUUUCUAAGCUUGAGUCUCAUAGCUAGGUAUUAAGAUAUUAUUCUCACUUCUCAACCAACAAAGGGGGAUAUAUAUCUUUGAUAGAUAGAGAAGGUUAAGCAUCGUUUCUUAUACCUCAUUGACCCCAAAAAUGAUGAAAAGAAAAUACAUAAUAAUUAAUUAAGCAAUUUAAUUAAUUGACCCUAAUCGAGUCAACUAAGUUUGAAAAACUUAGAACCUUAGUUAAUAUCUAUAUAUUAAUUUACUGUAGUUUACUGAGCUAUAUGUGCUUUUUUAGUUUAAUUUAUUUUGCCCCACGCAUGCACAUAGAUUUACUAAUUAGUAAAAAUGGUGUUGCUUAUUUUGUUUUGUUAUUUUUGUCAGCAGAUUAAUUGCAAUAAUAAAGAAUUAAUUUAUCCUAAUAUUAAUAUAAUGACCAUCA
This 1383-nucleotide unclassified non-coding RNA is filed under the name Hevea brasiliensis (rubber tree). The record is from RNAcentral. Lineage: Eukaryota; Viridiplantae; Streptophyta; Magnoliopsida; Malpighiales; Euphorbiaceae.